This 254-nucleotide ribosomal RNA is filed under the name uncultured bacterium. RNAcentral describes it as "partial 16S ribosomal RNA". It matches the Rfam family "Bacterial small subunit ribosomal RNA", at positions 524 to 776 of the family's 1533-position model. The record is from RNAcentral.
UACGUAGGAUGCAAGCGUUGUCCGGAAUUAUUGGGCGUAAAGAGCGCGCAGGCGGUCUAUCAAGUCAGAUGUGAAAUAUCCCGGCUUAACCGGGAGGGGUCAUUUGAAACUGGUAGACUAGAGUACAGCAGAGGAUAGCGGAAUUCCCGGUGUAGUGGUGAAAUGCGUAGAUAUCGGGAGGAACACCAGUGGCGAAGGCGGCUAUCUGGGCUGAAACUGACGCUGAGGCGCGAAGGCUAGGGGGAGCAAACAGG